GACGAACGCUGGCGGCGUGCUUAACACAUGCAAGUCGAACGGAAAGGCCCUGCUUUUGUGGGGUGCUCGAGUGGCGAACGGGUGAGUAACACGUGAGUAACCUGCCCUUGACUUUGGGAUAACUUCAGGAAACUGGGGCUAAUACCGGAUAGGAGCUCCUGCUGCAUGGCGGGGGUUGGAAAGUUUCGGCGGUUGGGGAUGGACUCGCGGCUUAUCAGCUUGUUGGUGGGGUAGUGGCUUACCAAGGCUUUGACGGGUAGCCGGCCUGAGAGGGUGACCGGCCACAUUGGGACUGAGAUACGGCCCAGACUCCUACGGGAGGCAGCAGUGGGGAAUAUUGCACAAUGGGCGGAAGCCUGAUGCAGCAACGCCGCGUGCGGGAUGACGGCCCUCGGGUUGUAAACCGCUUUCGCCUGUGACGAAGCGUGAGUGACGGUAAUGGGUAAAGAAGCACCGGCUAACUACGUGCCAGCAGCCGCGGUGAUACGUAGGGUGCGAGCGUUGUCCGGAUUUAUUGGGCGUAAAGGGCUCGUAGGUGGUUGAUCGCGUCGGAAGUGUAAUCUUGGGGCUUAACCCUGAGCGUGCUUUCGAUACGGGUUGACUUGAGGAAGGUAGGGGAGAAUGGAAUUCCUGGUGGAGCGGUGGAAUGCGCAGAUAUCAGAGAGGAACACCAGUGGCGAAGGCGGUUCUCUGGGCCUUUCCUGACGCUGAGGAGCGAAAGCGUGGGGAGCGAACAGGCUUAGAUACCCUGGUAGUCCACGCUGUAAACGGUGGGUACUAGGUGUGGGGUCCAUUCCACGGGUUCCGUGCCGUAGCUAACGCUUUAAGUACCCCGCCUGGGGAGUACGGCCGCAAGGCUAAAACUCAAAGGAAUUGACGGGGCCCCGCACAAGCGGCGGAGCAUGCGGAUUAAUUCGAUGCAACGCGUAGAACCUUACCUGGGUUUGACAUGGAUCGGGAGUGCUCAGAGAUGGGUGUGCCUCUUUUGGGGUCGGUUCACAGGUGGUGCAUGGCUGUCGUCAGCUCGUGUCGUGAGAUGUUGGGUUAAGUCCCGCAACGAGCGCAACCCUUGUUCACUGUUGCCAGCACGUUAUGGUGGGGACUCAGUGGAGACCGCCGGGGUCAACUCGGAGGAAGGUGGGGAUGACGUCAAGUCAUCAUGCCCCUUAUGUCCAGGGCUUCACGCAUGCUACAAUGGCUGGUACAGAGAGUGGCGAGCCUGUGAGGGUGAGCGAAUCUCGGAAAGCCGGUCUCAGUUCGGAUUGGGGUCUGCAACUCGACCUCAUGAAGUCGGAGUCGCUAGUAAUCGCAGAUCAGCAACGCUGCGGUGAAUACGUUCCCGGGGCU
This 1347-nucleotide ribosomal RNA is filed under the name uncultured bacterium. RNAcentral's name for it is "partial 16S ribosomal RNA". It matches the Rfam family "Bacterial small subunit ribosomal RNA", at positions 28 to 1381 of the family's 1533-position model. The record is from RNAcentral.